RNAcentral lists this ribosomal RNA (468 nucleotides) under uncultured bacterium. Its description in RNAcentral is "partial 16S ribosomal RNA". It matches the Rfam family "Bacterial small subunit ribosomal RNA", at positions 28 to 507 of the family's 1533-position model. The record is from RNAcentral.
GACGAACGCUGGCGGCGUGCUUAACACAUGCAAGUCGAACGGAAAGGUCCUGCCUUUGUGCGCUGCUCGAGUGGCGAACGGGUGAGCAACACGUGAGUAACCUGCCCCUGACCGAGGGAUAUCUUCAGGAAACCGGGGCUCAUACCGCAUAGGAGCUCCCGCUGCAUGGUGGGCGUUCGAAAGUUUCGGUGGUUGGGGAUGGACUCGCGGCUUAUCAGCUUGUUGGUGGGGUAGUGGCUUACCAAGGCUUUGACGGGUAGCCGGCCUGAGAGGGUGACCGGCCACAUUGGGACUGAGCUGCGGCCCAGACUCCUACGGGAGGCAGCAGUGGGGAAUAUUGCACAGUGGGCGGAAGCCUGAUGCAGCAACGCCGCGUGCGGGAUGACGGCCUUCGGGUUGUAAACCGCUUUCGCCUGUGACGAAGCGUGAGUGACGGUAAUGGGUAAAGAAGCACCGGCUAACUACGUG